AAAAAAGGGAGACCCUCAUUGUUUGUUCUCAACAUUGCCACAUUGCCAGGCAUUGCAAGAUCAUUGAGUAUUGGCCAAGUUGUUUAGGCUCCACCAUCCUCAAGUGGAUGUCAAAAAGUAUUUGGUUUUCGUUGGAUGGUUAGAGCACAGUGGGUUUCAGAGCACAGCUAGAAAACUAGGUAUCAAGUACUGUUCUAACAGGCCAUGUGCUCUUUAUGCAAUUCCUUGCCCUUUUGAAGGACCAGAUGCUAACAAUACACCAGCUAGAAGGAAGAUCAAAGGAGGUGGAGAGCUUAUACUCGAGAAAGUAAACCAUAACCAAAACAAAGCUGCAGAUUUGUUAGCAAAUUUUCAAGGACGAGUCGUGGCUCCAGAUAAAUUUGCCGUGGCAGCUGCUCGGAAUCCUGACUGCAACCUGUCGUUGAUGGUUGGCACCACUGACCUCCCAGAUUGGUGUUACAUGGUGUCCUGUGGAACUGAAGCGAAGCAAUAUGCCUCUGAAUCCACUUCACCUGAUCACCUUCGCCUCUUCUAUCAGAGCUCAUAUUUCGAAAGUGAAAGCGCCCCAUCUUGUGCUUCUUGGCAGAGCAGAUCUUCGAGUACCCAUUUCUAAUGGCCUACAGUACGCAAGGGCCCUAAGAGAAAGAUGAGGCGAGGUCAAAAUCACGAUGUUCCCAGAAGACAUGCAUGAAAUCAAUAUACCGCGGCCCCAUUUCGAGAGCUUCCUCAACAUCGGAGGAUGGUUCAACAAGCAUCUGAAAUAGGUGAAAUGCAGCAGCGUGAAACAGAUUCUGGUGGUUCAUCGAGUUGAGAAACAACUAGCCGCCCAUCUAGGCUUUUGUCCAC
Phragmites australis (common reed) is the source of this 846-nucleotide long non-coding RNA. RefSeq lists it as uncharacterized. NCBI's taxonomy places the organism in Eukaryota, Viridiplantae, Streptophyta, Magnoliopsida, Poales, Poaceae. The transcript has 7 exons. The record is from RefSeq and is a predicted model, not a curated record.